UCUAAUAUGGCAGAUUAGUGCAAUGAAUUUAAGAUUCAUAUAUAAAGAGUUAUCUUUUAUUAGGA
This 65-nucleotide transfer RNA is filed under the name unidentified. RNAcentral describes it as "Capodemus sinuatus tRNA-Leu". The record is from RNAcentral.